AGCUGUUCCCCUCUGGAGGUUCAUACCUUCAAACUCACGGGCCGCGGUUUUUCCGGCGGCCCUUUUUUCUUCCGCGC
Molecule: small RNA, 77 nt
Filed under: Sinorhizobium fredii NGR234
Lineage: Bacteria; Pseudomonadati; Pseudomonadota; Alphaproteobacteria; Hyphomicrobiales; Rhizobiaceae
Description: Makes More Granules Regulator RNA (mmgR)
Rfam family: Makes More Granules Regulator RNA (mmgR)
About the family: SuhB later renamed mmgR (makes more granules regulator) was a putative non-coding RNA found multiple times in the Agrobacterium tumefaciens genome and related alpha-proteobacteria.
Source: Rfam by way of RNAcentral